This is a non-coding RNA of Staphylococcus saprophyticus, 415 nucleotides long. NCBI's taxonomy places the organism in Bacteria, Bacillati, Bacillota, Bacilli, Caryophanales, Staphylococcaceae. The record is from Rfam.
AAGAUUUAUCAAUGAUUUAGAUAGUAUUUGUUAAUCUUUGUAAUAUGUUUAAAGGAGUUGUUGUUGUGACAAAAAACAUCAUAGACUCGAUUGGUGGUUUAGUGAAUUAAUUUUGGACUCAGUUUGACAUUCGCUUAAAAUUUAAGCUUUCCCUAUAAUAACUGUAUUCAUAAUUAUUUUGAUUAAACAAUUUAUUCUAGUGUCAUUUAAAUAAUUACCUAUAACAGAGGUAAUUUAAGUAGUAACAUGUAAGCUAUCGUAAACAUCAUUCAAUUUGCCGUUCUAACUGACGGUAGAUUCACUAAAUUUUUUCAUAAUUAAUAACAUCCCCAAAAAUAGAUAGAGAAAUAACUGUAAAACAUUCCCUUAAUAAUAAGUUAAAAAAACCGUGAGUCCCUCCCAAGCUCACGGUUUU